RNAcentral lists this unclassified non-coding RNA (335 nucleotides) under soil metagenome. RNAcentral's name for it is "partial contains 5.8S ribosomal RNA, internal transcribed spacer 2, and large subunit ribosomal RNA". The stretch from base 1 to 120 matches the Rfam family "5.8S ribosomal RNA", at positions 35 to 154 of the family's 154-position model. The record is from RNAcentral.
GAUGAAGAACGUAGCGAAAUGCGAUAAGUAAUGUGAAUUGCAGAAUUCCGUGAAUCAUCGAAUCUUUGAACGCACAUUGCGCCCCCUGGUAUUCCGGGGGGCAUGCCUGUCCGAGCGUCAUUGCAACCCUCAAGCGCGGCUUGCGUGUUGGGCGCCGUCCCCCGUGGACGCACCCGAAAGGCAGUGGCGGUACCGUGCUCCGGUGCCCGAGCGUAUGGGCUUAAAACCCGCUCUUGUGGCCCGGCCGGCGCUGGCCUCGACCCCCAACUUUACAAGGUUGACCUCGGAUCAGGUAGGGAUACCCGCUGAACUUAAGCAUAUCAAUAAGCGGAGGA